Molecule: long non-coding RNA, 1089 nt
Organism: Bombus pascuorum
Lineage: Eukaryota; Metazoa; Arthropoda; Insecta; Hymenoptera; Apidae
Exons: 4
Source: RefSeq, a predicted model, not a curated record
GACAGUUGGGUCUUUACGCACGAAUUAUCGAGCUGAUCAACUUGAUUAGAUUAAAUAUCGAUUAGCUUAAAUAUUGACGAGAUAAGGUUGGAGUUUAUUGGAAAUUUACGUCUUCUUAAGAAAUAAUCAGGAUAUGAAAAUAAAAAAUCCAAUUGCUCGGCAUGGUUGAUCGAUGCAACAGACCUAACCUACGUCAUCGCAAUUCGAAGCGGUUUAUUCAGUGCAAAUUAUAGAGAGGAACGUAUUUGUAAAAACAAAAAUAUCGGAAAUACAAUUUCGUUUGAAACAUGUUACAACGCCGAGUAAACUUCACUUGUGAAUUUUCUACUAGCAGCUUUGUUAGAAAUAUGCAGAAUUACCAGCGACAAGGGCACAUCCUCAACCCGCAAAUUCGAAAAAUUAUGAAACUUUGGGAAUACGUUGAGGUUAUGUGGUUUCGGAUGGAAGAUAGAGAAGAGACGCAUAGCCUCUAUUCAAUUACCUAUGGCUGUCUGUUCGCGUGGUUAUUAAAACGGAUAAAUCUUGUUUGUCGUUGCUUCUUCACCAGAUUGAAAUUUUCCACGCCGAAACAUCGAAUUAAAUCUCUCUCGCAUGGAUCCACACGGUUGUUCGCGUGCGUUCGUCCAAUAAAUUAGAAACAAUUGGGCGGAUUAGAAUUUCGGUUGGUUCACGCGACCCUGCCACGUCAUCGAGCUAGUUGAUCCUACAGAUAAGCACAAGUAAAUAAUGCGCUAUUACUUUCACGCCUAACCUUUCACGCUUAAACAGAUUGGCCCAUAAACGAUAGGAAAUUGUUCUCAAUUUUGCCACACGUUCCGAAUUAAAAGUAUUUUCGUUUUAUACAGUGGCUGAUGAAGUAAUUGCAACGCACAGCGCAGAAAAUUGCUACGAACGUAUUACGUGCACUACGCCUGACUUUUUUCAUAUUUUGCAGCAUCGAGACACGAGUAUCGCGGUUGUAACAGUAAAAUUUGUAACUAGUCUGAAAAUGUGUAUAAAAGCUGCAAGAUGUUUGUUGCAAACGUACGUUAAGCGAAAAAUUACUAUACAGCAUGAAUAAUAGUAUUGGUUUAGCGACUAAGUUUUUUU